AGAUUGAACGCUGGCGGCAUGCCUUACACAUGCAAGUCGAACGGCAGCACGGGAGCAAUCCUGGUGGCGAGUGGCGAACGGGUGAGUAAUAUAUCGGAACGUGCCCAGUCGUGGGGGAUAACGUAGAGAAAUUUACGCUAAUACCGCAUACGAUCCAAGGAUGAAAGCGGGGGACCUAAGGCCUCGCGCGACUGGAGCGGCUGAUAUCAGAUUAGCUUGUUGUGAGGUAAAGCUACACCAAGGCGACGAUCUGUAGCUGGUUGAGAGAACGACCAGCCACACUGGGACUGACGACACGGCCCAGACUCCUACGGGAGGCAGCAGGUGGGGAAUUUUGGACAAAGUGGGACGAAAGCCUAGAUCCAGACAAUGCCGCGUGACGAGGAA
This 387-nucleotide ribosomal RNA is filed under the name uncultured soil bacterium. Its description in RNAcentral is "bacterial SSU rRNA". It matches the Rfam family "Bacterial small subunit ribosomal RNA", at positions 26 to 412 of the family's 1533-position model. The record is from RNAcentral.